RNAcentral lists this ribosomal RNA (245 nucleotides) under uncultured Solirubrobacter sp. RNAcentral's name for it is "partial 16S ribosomal RNA". It matches the Rfam family "Bacterial small subunit ribosomal RNA", at positions 524 to 768 of the family's 1533-position model. The record is from RNAcentral. Lineage: Bacteria; Bacillati; Actinomycetota; Thermoleophilia; Solirubrobacterales; Solirubrobacteraceae.
UACGUAGGGGGCUAGCGUUGUCCGGAAUCAUUGGGCGUAAAGCGCGUGUAGGCGGCCCGGUAAGUCCGCUGUGAAAGUCGGGGGCUCAACCCUCGGAUGCCGGUGGAUACUGUCGGGCUCGAGUACGGAAGAGGCGAGUGGAAUUCCUGGUGUAGCGGUGAAAUGCGCAGAUAUCAGGAGGAACACCAAUUGCGAAGGCAGCUCGCUGGGACGUUACUGACGCUGAGACGCGAAAGCGUGGGGAG